UCCUUACAGGGAGUAAUAGAAAAGUAACAGAAUUAAAUCUGUGGUCAAAUUAUUGUAUGAAAUAUUACGUAUUAUAAAUUAUUAUUUAUCUUCAUUUGCGUCGUCGGAUUUUGGAUUUUUAACCUUAACGGUUGACACUAAAUCAUAAUCAAUACAUUUCAUUAUUGAGGCAUUUUCGGUUUUACUAGCAAUAAUAUUACGUUCUGAAGCAAAAAUAAUUCGAACGGGACAAAAAGGAUUUUGUACUUUACUAAUUUCAAAAGCACGGUAUGUGUCGCAUAAUUCUGGGUCUAAAUACUAAUUUUUUUUUGCUGGCUAUAAUGUUAAAUGAAAAAAAAUUCCGAUAGGUACUGAUGGGCAUGCAAUUGUUCAAGGAGGGAAGUAAGCGGGGAGCACAAUUUGAUAUAGAGUAAUUUGAUUUAUAUUUCGUAGGUAUAUGUAACGAAAUGAAAAAAAAGAAAAAAACAAAACCGUUUCCGAGGAGUUUUAUUAUUCGUAUUUUUCCCCCAUCUUGUUCUAAGGUAACCCAGAAAUCAACAAUAAUUAUAACAAAAACGUCUAGUUUUUUCGAUUUACUUAAGAAAAAAAAUCGACUUUCUCAAUGCGCCGACAAUAAUCAUAUUAUGACGCGUGUUGUUAUCGUAAAACACGGUCAUUGUGUAUACUACCCCGAACGAUAUCCGUGCGUACACAACACGUGUGUAGAACACGUAGUAG
Cinara cedri is the source of this 717-nucleotide non-coding RNA. Lineage: Eukaryota; Metazoa; Arthropoda; Insecta; Hemiptera; Aphididae. The record is from the annotation of a GenBank genome assembly.